RNAcentral lists this ribosomal RNA (1001 nucleotides) under Fictibacillus sp. Its description in RNAcentral is "partial 16S ribosomal RNA". The record is from RNAcentral. Lineage: Bacteria; Bacillati; Bacillota; Bacilli; Caryophanales; Fictibacillaceae.
AAUUUCGGGGCCGGCCUGGCUCCCAAAAGGGUUACCCCACCGACUUCGGGUGUUACAAACUCUCGUGUGUGUGACGGGCGGUGUGUACAAGGCCCGGGAACGUAUUCACCGCGGCAUGCUGAUCCGCGAUUACUAGCAAUUCCGGCUUCAUGUAGGCGAGUUGCAGCCUACAAUCCGAACUGAGAAUGACUUUUUGGGAUUGGCUUGGCCUCGCGGCUUCGCAACCCUUUGUAUCAUCCAUUGUAGCACGUGUGUAGCCCAGGUCAUAAGGGGCAUGAUGAUUUGACGUCGUCCCCACCUUCCUCCGGUUUGUCACCGGCAGUCACCUUAGAGUGCCCAACUGAAUGCUGGCAACUAAGGUCAAGGGUUGCGCUCGUUGCGGGACUUAACCCAACAUCUCACGACACGAGCUGACGACAACCAUGCACCACCUGUCACUUUGUCCCCCGAAGGGGAAAGCUCUAUCUCUAGAGUGGUCAAAGGAUGUCAAGACCUGGUAAGGUUCUUCGCGUUGCUUCGAAUUAAACCACAUGCUCCACUGCUUGUGCGGGCCCCCGUCAAUUCCUUUGAGUUUCAACCUUGCGGUCGUACUCCCCAGGCGGAGUGCUUAAUGUGUUAACUUCAGCACUGAGGGUGGAACCCCCCAACACCUAGCACUCAUCGUUUACGGCGUGGACUACCAGGGUAUCUAAUCCUGUUUGCUCCCCACGCUUUCGCGCCUCAGCGUCAGUUACAGGCCAAAAAGCCGCCUUCGCCACUGGUGUUCCUCCACAUCUCUACGCAUUUCACCGCUACACGUGGAAUUCCACUUUUUCUCUCCUGCACUCAAGUCUCCCAGUUUUCCAAUGACCCUCCACGGUUGAGCCGUGGGCUUUCACAUCAGACUUAAGAGACCGCCUGCGCGCGCUUUACGCCCAAUAAUUCCGGAUAACGCUUGGCCACCUACGUAUUACCGCGGCUGCCUGGCACGUAGUUAGCCGUGGACUUUCUAGGUUAAGGUA